UUAUCUUAGUGGCGCACGGGUGAGUAAUAUAUAGCUAACUUGCCCAUUACUAAGGGACAACAGUUGGAAACGACUGCUAAUACCUUAUACUCCGUAUCUAUAUAAGUAGGUACGGGAAAGUUUUUCGGUAAUGGAUAGGGCUAUAUCGUAUCAGCUAGUUGGUAAGGUAACGGCUUACCAAGGCUAUGACGCGUAACUGGUCUGAGAGGAUGAACAGUCACACUGGAACUGAGACACGGUCCAGACUCCUACGGGAGGCAGCAGUAGGGAAUAUUGCUCAAUGGGGGAAACCCUGAAGCAGCAACGCCGCGUGGAGGAUGACACUUUUCGGAGCGUAAACUCCUUUUCUUGGGAAAGAAUUAUGACGGUACCCAAGGAAUAAGCACCGGCUAACUCCGUGCCAGCAGCCGCGGUAAUACGGAGGGUGCAAGCGUUACUCGGAAUCACUGGGCGUAAAGGACGCGUAGGCGGAUUAUCAAGUCUCUUGUGAAAUCUAACGGCUUAACCGUUAAACUGCUUGGGAAACUGAUAAUCUAGAGUAAGGGAGAGGCAGAUGGAAUUCUUGGUGUAGGGGUAAAAUCCGUAGAGAUCAAGAAGAAUACCCAUUGCGAAAGCGAUCUGCUGGAACUUAACUGACGCUAAUGCGUGAAAGCGUGGGGAGCAAACAGGAUUAGAUACCCUGGUAGUCCCCGCCCUAAACGAUGUAUACUAGUUGUUGCUUCGCUAGUCGAGGCAGUAAUGCACCUAACGGAUUAAGUAUACCGCCUGGGGAGUAC
Molecule: ribosomal RNA, 776 nt
Filed under: uncultured bacterium
Lineage: Bacteria
Description: bacterial SSU rRNA
Rfam family: Bacterial small subunit ribosomal RNA
Source: RNAcentral